RNAcentral lists this ribosomal RNA (423 nucleotides) under uncultured bacterium. RNAcentral's name for it is "bacterial SSU rRNA". It matches the Rfam family "Bacterial small subunit ribosomal RNA", at positions 64 to 507 of the family's 1533-position model. The record is from RNAcentral.
GAGCGGAAAGGCCCUUCGGGGUACUCGAGCGGCGAACGGGUGAGUAACACGUGAGCAACCUGCCCCUAGCUCUGGGAUAGCUCCGGGAAACCGGGAUUAAUACCGGAUAAGACCACUUUAGACAUCUGCUGUGGUGGAAAGGAUUCCGGCUAGGGAUGGGCUCGCGGCCUAUCAGCUUGUUGGUGGGGUAAUGGCUUACCAAGGCAACGAUCGGUAGCUGGUCUGAGAGGAUGAUCAGCCACAAUGGAACUGAGACACGGUCCAUACUCCUACGGGAGGCAGCAGUGGGGAAUUUUACACAAUGGGCGAAAGCCUGAUGUAGCGACACCGCGUGAGCGAAGAAGCCCUUUGGGGUGUAAAGCUCUGUCGUGAGGGACGAAAAAAAUGACGGUACCUCAAGAGGAAGCAUCGGCUAACUACGUG